Molecule: ribosomal RNA, 253 nt
Filed under: uncultured bacterium
Lineage: Bacteria
Description: partial 16S ribosomal RNA
Rfam family: Bacterial small subunit ribosomal RNA
Source: RNAcentral
UACGGAGGGGGCUAGCGUUGUUCGGGAUUACUGGGCGUAAAGCGCACGUAGGCGGCUUUGUAAGUUAGAGGUGAAAGCCCAGGGCUUAACUCUGGAAUUGCCUUUAAGACUGCAUCGCUAGAAUCGUGGAGAGGUGAGUGGAAUUCCGAGUGUAGAGGUGAAAUUCGUAGAUAUUCGGAAGAACACCAGUGGCGAAGGCGACUCACUGGACACGUAUUGACGCUGAGGUGCGAAAGCGUGGGGAGCAAACAGG